GGGUCAGUAAGUUGGUCAUGCCACUAGUAUGUACUGGUCUCACUGAUUCCUCCUUCCUGAUGAGCCGUAAUGCCAUUAAUUUGGUGUUGCGGGGAAUCUGGACUGUUACUUUGAAAAAAUUAGAGUGCUUAAAGCAAGCUAACGCUUGAAUACAUUAGCAUGGAAUAAUGAAAUAGGACGUUCGAUCCUAUUUUGUCGGUUUCUAGGAUUGACGUA
RNAcentral lists this ribosomal RNA (216 nucleotides) under Campeiostachys nutans. Its description in RNAcentral is "Elymus nutans partial small subunit ribosomal RNA". The stretch from base 44 to 216 matches the Rfam family "Eukaryotic small subunit ribosomal RNA", at positions 690 to 864 of the family's 1831-position model. The record is from RNAcentral. Lineage: Eukaryota; Viridiplantae; Streptophyta; Magnoliopsida; Poales; Poaceae.